GAUGAACGCUGGCGGCGUGCCUAAUACAUGCAAGUCGAGCGAACAGAUGAGGAGCUUGCUCCUCUGACGUUAGCGGCGGACGGGUGCGUACCACGUGGAUAACCUACCUAUAAGACUGGGAUAACUUCUGGAAACCGGACCUAAUACCGGAUAAUAUAUUGAACCGCAUGGUUCAAUAGUGAAAGACUGUUUUGCUGUCACUUCUAGAUGGAUCCGCGCCGCAUUAGCUAGUUGGUAAGGUAACGGCUUACCAAGGCAACGAUGCGUAGCCGACCUGAGGGGGGGAUCGGCCACACUGGAACUGAGACACGGUCCAGACUCCUACGGGAGGCAGCAGUAGGGAAUCUUCCGCAAAGGGCGAAAGCCUGACGGAGCAACGCCGCGUGAGUGAUGAAGGUCUUCGGAUCGUAAAACUCUGUUAUUAGGGAAGAACAAAUGUGUAAGUAACUAUGCACGUAUUGACGGUACCUAAGCAGAAAGCCACGGCUAACUACGUG
This 497-nucleotide ribosomal RNA is filed under the name uncultured bacterium. RNAcentral's name for it is "partial 16S ribosomal RNA". It matches the Rfam family "Bacterial small subunit ribosomal RNA", at positions 28 to 507 of the family's 1533-position model. The record is from RNAcentral.